Molecule: unclassified non-coding RNA, 441 nt
Filed under: uncultured Nostocaceae cyanobacterium
Lineage: Bacteria; Bacillati; Cyanobacteriota; Cyanophyceae; Nostocales; Nostocaceae
Description: partial contains 16S ribosomal RNA and 16S-23S ribosomal RNA intergenic spacer
Rfam family: Bacterial small subunit ribosomal RNA (bases 1-120)
Source: RNAcentral
GCCACGCCCGAAGUCAUUACCCCAACCGUAAGGGGGGGGAUGCCUAAGGUAGGACUGAUGACUGGGGUGAAGUCGUAACAAGGUAGCCGUACCGGAAGGUGUGGCUGGAUCACCUCCUUUUAGGGAGACCUAAUCCAUUUAGAAAUCGAAAACAAUGAAAAUUGUCAAUAGAAACUAAAGUGGUCUAACCUAGGUCGUUCGAGAUUGGUAGAUAUCUUUCAAAGUAUUAUUCGGCUUCGUUCAAAACCAUAUAUAAAUGGAAAAAGACAGCACCUAAUUGUCAAAGUUAGACUGCUGGAUGAAAUUCCAGCCAGAACCUUGAAAACUGCAUAAGAGAACGAGAAAAAGCAGGCAGACACAGACAUUUAGAUGGAUGUGAAAGCAAAAGAAAUUGUGGUCAAGCUAAUAAGGGCUAAUGGUGGAUACCUAGGCACACAGAGG